RNAcentral lists this transfer RNA (68 nucleotides) under Trimma milta (red earth dwarf goby). RNAcentral describes it as "tRNA-Ser". Lineage: Eukaryota; Metazoa; Chordata; Actinopteri; Gobiiformes; Gobiidae. The record is from RNAcentral.
GAGAGAGGCCUGCUGCGACCAAGGCCGCUACCCUUGGUUUACUUCGGUUGAACUCCGAUGCUCUCUCG